UUUCAUUAUAUAACCACUUUUUCAAUACGAAUUUACAUAAAAAAUAAUAUUUUAAUGAAAUACAAUUCAGUGUUAAAACAAAACAUGAAAUGCACCCUACAAGCAAACCCACACAAUUACUUCAGCAAAACCUCCCAAAAAUUAGACAAAUAGCCCCAAACAAAACUGCAGGAAUCCAACUCUUCAUCUUCCACCAGAGGCAUGCCAGAUCCAUAUUAUUACUUCAUCUAUAGCCUCAUAAUUAAGUCUUCCUUGAUUGAAAUAUAUAUAAAGCUGCUGUCCCACAAUCUGCACUAUGCAUUAGUUCAAAUUUAUGAAAAUUUUAAACAAAUUAAGUACCUUAACAAACCAUCGUCGUCAUAAACCAUUACCAACAUUUCACAAAAUCCAUCUUCAGUUAUAGCCAAUGUCAUCACCAGGGGAGAAAAAAUAUACAUUUAAGAAGAAAGUUAGAGUUACCUGGUACGCGGCUCCAUUGCAGAUGGAGAGUUUCUGAGUCGUCACCGUAAUCGCUAACGACAGUCCUAAUAACUGGAGCUCUUCAACUAAUUCAUUUUCUUAUGAGCAGCAACAAAUUUCUUUAAAGCAUUUGCGAGGAACUGAAAUGGACUCUGAGAAUUGUUGUUUCGAAUUUGGUAGAUGAACAAGGUUUUCAGUUGAGCUACUAAUCUCUGGCUAAAAGCAUGCUUCCAGUGGUUAUUUGAGUGUCUUAGACACAUUAAUUCUUGAAAACUCAAGAAAAGGACUCACAAAAGAGAAAAUAGAGGUGGCUAACGAGCCGGGUGUCGCAUGGCACGUUUAUUAUCCAGCGGUUAUUUGAGUGUCUUAGACACAUUAGUUCUUAAAAACUCAAGAAAAAGACUCACAAAAGAGAAAGUAGAGGUGGCCAGCGAGUCGGGUGGCACAUGGCACGUGGCACGUGGCACGUGUCACGUGGCACGUGUCACGUGUCACGUGACACGACACGAUAUGAGUAUAUUUUGGUAAGACAUGUGAUACGGUAUCACACACAUGUAAGCCAGGCGAAGUUUAAAUUUUUAAGUAUGUUGAUCUUAAAAGUACAGCACGAUAAGCGGUGGGACAAAGCACAACACAUGAAAAGGUACGUAAUAAACACGCUUUAUUGGUGGACUAGUACGUGACCCGUGAGCUAUCAAUAGCAUGAGGACCAAAAUAUAUCAAAGUAAAAUUUUUUAAUAAAAAGUAAAAAUAAAAUAUUAUGAUUUUACAAAUAUUUUAAAAUUAAUUUUUUAAUAUAUUUUAUUAAAUUAAUUUUAAGUCUUAGUUUUAAAAAAAUUCUAAUUGUUUUAUGUUUAUCAUUUAUUAAAUGAAUAAAUAAAUAUCAUAGUUUUAAU
This 1355-nucleotide long non-coding RNA is filed under the name Citrus x clementina. RNAcentral describes it as "Citrus clementina (C. clementina) long non-coding RNA (CCLE_LNC002543)". Lineage: Eukaryota; Viridiplantae; Streptophyta; Magnoliopsida; Sapindales; Rutaceae. The record is from RNAcentral.